AGUAGCAAUACUUUUGUAAAGCAAGUGGCGAACGGGUGAGUAACGCGUGGAUAAUCUGCCUUAAAGAUUGGGAUAACUCUUCGAAAGGAGGGCUAAUACCAAAUGUUUUAUGAUCUUCCAUGAAGAUUAUAACAAAGGUAGCCGCAAGGGCUUCCGCUUUAAGAUGAGUCCGCGUCCUAUUAGCUUGUUGGUGGGGUAACAGCCUACCAAGGCUAUGAUGGGUAGCCGGUCUGAGAGGACGGACGGCCACACUGGGACUAAGAUACGGCCCAGACUCCUACGGGAGGCAGCAGUAGGGAAUAUUGCGCAAUGGGCGAACGCCUGACGCAGCGACACCGUGCGUAGGAUGAGAAUCUUCGGAUUGUAAACUACUGUCAGUUGAAGACGAAGGCAGUAGAGUUAAGAGCUCGAAUGUUGACGGUAUUCAAUUAGGAAGUCUCGGCUAACUCCGUGCCAGCAGCCGCGGUAAGACGGAGGAGGCUAGCAUUGUCCGGAAUUAUUGGGCGUAAAGAACACGUAGGCGGUUUGUCAAGUCAUGUGUGAAAACCUUAGGCUUAACUUAAGGAUUGCAGAUGAUACUGGUAAACUAGAGUACAGUAGAGGAAAGUGGAAUUCCUGGUGUAGCGGUGAAAUGCGCAGAUAUCAGGAAGAACACCAGUGGCGAAAGCG
RNAcentral lists this ribosomal RNA (669 nucleotides) under uncultured bacterium. RNAcentral describes it as "bacterial SSU rRNA". It matches the Rfam family "Bacterial small subunit ribosomal RNA", at positions 75 to 723 of the family's 1533-position model. The record is from RNAcentral.